CCUACGGGAGGCAGCAGUGGGGAAUAUUGGGCAAUGGGCGCGAGCCUGAACCAGCAACGCCGCGUGAAGGAAGAAGGCUUUCGGGUUGUCAACUUCUUUUCUCAGGGGCACAGCAAGUGACGGUCCCUGAGUAAUAAGCCACGGCUAAAUACGUGCCAGCAGCCGCGGUAAUACGUCGGUGGCAAUCGUUCUACGGAUUUGCGUGGUGUAAAGAGCGUGUAGGCGGGAAGGCAAGUCAGAUGUGCAAACCAUGGGCUCAACCUGUGGCCUGCAUUUGAAACUGUUGGUCUUGAGUACUGGAGAGGCAGACGGAAUUCGUAGUGUAGCGGUGAAAUGCGUAGAUAUUAGGAGGAACACCAGUGGCGAAGGCGGUCUGCUGGACAGCAACUGACGCUGAGGCGCGAAAGCGUGGGGAGCAAACAGGAUUAGAUACCCGUGUAGUC
This 443-nucleotide ribosomal RNA is filed under the name uncultured bacterium. RNAcentral describes it as "partial 16S ribosomal RNA". It matches the Rfam family "Bacterial small subunit ribosomal RNA", at positions 338 to 795 of the family's 1533-position model. The record is from RNAcentral.